GACGAACGCUGGCGGCGUGCUUAACACAUGCAAGUCGAACGGAAAGGCCCUGCUUUUGUGGGGUGCUCGAUUGGCGAACGGGUGAGUAACACGUGAGUAACCUGCCCCUGACUUUGGGAUAACUUCAGGAAACUGGGGCUAAUACCGGAUAGGAGCUCCUGCUGCAUGGUGGGGGAUGGAAAGUUUCGGCGGUUGGGGCUGGACUCGCGGGUUAUCCGCUUGUUGGUGGGGUAGUGGCUUACCAAGGGUUUGACGGGUAGCCGGCCUGGGAGGUGAGACAGGCACAUGAGGACUGAGAGACGGAGCAGUAUGCAACGGGAGGCAGUAGUGGGGAAUAUUGCACAAUGAGCGGAAGCGUGAGGCGACGACGCUCCGAUCGGGAUGCUGGGCUUCGAGUUGAAAACCGCUGUGGAAGGUGACGAAGCGGUAGUGACGGUAAUGGGUAAAGAAGCACCGGCUAACUACGUG
RNAcentral lists this ribosomal RNA (468 nucleotides) under uncultured bacterium. RNAcentral's name for it is "partial 16S ribosomal RNA". It matches the Rfam family "Bacterial small subunit ribosomal RNA", at positions 28 to 507 of the family's 1533-position model. The record is from RNAcentral.